UAGGGAAUCUUCCGCAAUGGACGCAAGUCUGACGGAGCAACGCCGCGUGAGUGAAGAAGGAUUUCGGUUCGUAAAACUCUGUUGUUAGAGAAGAACAGCGCAUAGAGUAACUGUUAUGCGUGUGACGGUAUCUAACCAGAAAGCCACGGCUAACUACGUGCCAGCAGCCGCGGUAAUACGUAGGUGGCAAGCGUUGUCCGGAUUUAUUGGGCGUAAAGCGAGCGCAGGCGGUCAAUUAAGUCUGAUGUGAAAGCCCCCGGCUCAACCGGGGAGGGUCAUUGGAAACUGGUUGACUUGAGUGCAGAAGAGGAGAGUGGAAUUCCAUGUGUAGCGGUGAAAUGCGUAGAUAUAUGGAGGAACGCCAGUGGCGAAGGCGACUCUCUGGUCUGUAACUGACGCUGAGGCUCGAAAGCGUGGGGAGCGAACAGG
This 429-nucleotide ribosomal RNA is filed under the name Bacteroidota bacterium. RNAcentral's name for it is "Bacteroidetes bacterium partial 16S ribosomal RNA". It matches the Rfam family "Bacterial small subunit ribosomal RNA", at positions 355 to 776 of the family's 1533-position model. The record is from RNAcentral. Lineage: Bacteria; Pseudomonadati; Bacteroidota.